GUGAAUCAUCAAAUCUUUGAACGCAAAUUGCACUCUCUGGUAUUCCGGAGAGUAUGCCUGUUUGAGGGUCAGUUUAAAUAAAAAUCGUUGUGUUUUCUGCCUUUCUUGUUCACGCACCGUAUGUGGUUUUUCUUUCAUUCGGUUAAUGGACCUAAAAUUUUUCAUUAUUUUUUUCGAACUUAUUUAAAUGAUUUUACGUACGUUUGCGAUAUCUAAUACUAGUUGCGGUCAUCAUCUUGAUCCGCGCCU
RNAcentral lists this unclassified non-coding RNA (249 nucleotides) under Glomeraceae sp. RNAcentral's name for it is "partial contains 5.8S ribosomal RNA and internal transcribed spacer 2". The stretch from base 1 to 71 matches the Rfam family "5.8S ribosomal RNA", at positions 84 to 154 of the family's 154-position model. Lineage: Eukaryota; Fungi; Glomeromycota; Glomeromycetes; Glomerales; Glomeraceae. The record is from RNAcentral.